GCCUAACACAUGCAAGUCGAACGGUAACAGAAAGCAGCUUGCUGCUUUGCUGACGAGUGGCGGACGGGUGAGUAAUGUCUGGGAAACUGCCCGAUGGAGGGGGAUAACUACUGGAAACGGUAGCUAAUACCGCAUAACGUCGCAAGACCAAAGAGGGGGACCUUCGGGCCUCUUGCCAUCGGAUGUGCCCAGAUGGGAUUAGCUAGUAGGUGGGGUAAAGGCUCACCUAGGCGACGAUCCCUAGCUGGUCUGAGAGGAUGACCAGCCACACUGGAACUGAGACACGGUCCAGACUCCUACGGGAGGCAGCAGUGGGGAAUAUUGCACAAUGGGCGCAAGCCUGAUGCAGCCAUGCCGCGUGUAUGAAGAAGGCCUUCGGGUUGUAAAGUACUUUCAGCGGGGAGGAAGGGAGUAAAGUUAAUACCUUUGCUCAUUGACGUUACCCGCAGAAGAAGCACCGGCUAACUCCGUGCCAGCAGCCGCGGUAAUACGGAGGGUGCAAGCGUUAAUCGGAAUUACUGGGCGUAAAGCGCACGCAGGCGGUUUGUUAAGUCAGAUGUGAAAUCCCCGGGCUCAACCUGGGAACUGCAUCUGAUACUGGCAAGCUUGAGUCUCGUAGAGGGGGGUAGAAUUCCAGGUGUAGCGGUGAAAUGCGUAGAGAUCUGGAGGAAUACCGGUGGCGAAGGCGGCCCCCUGGACGAAGACUGACGCUCAGGUGCGAAAGCGUGGGGAGCAAACAGGAUUAGAUACCCUGGUAGUCCACGCCGUAAACGAUGUCGACUUGGAGGUUGUGCCCUUGAGGCGUGGCUUCCGGAGCUAACGCGUUAAGUCGACCGCCUGGGGAGUACGGCCGCAAGGUUAAAACUCAAAUGAAUUGACGGGGGCCCGCACAAGCGGUGGAGCAUGUGGUUUAAUUCGAUGCAACGCGAAGAACCUUACCUGGUCUUGACAUCCACGGAAGUUUUCAGAGAUGAGAAUGUGCCUUCGGGAACCGUGAGACAGGUGCUGCAUGGCUGUCGUCAGCUCGUGUUGUGAAAUGUUGGGUUAAGUCCCGCAACGAGCGCAACCCUUAUCCUUUGUUGCCAGCGGUCCGGCCGGGAACUCAAAGGAGACUGCCAGUGAUAAACUGGAGGAAGGUGGGGAUGACGUCAAGUCGUCAUGGCCCUUACGACCAGGGCUACACACGUGCUACAAUGGCGCAUACAAAGAGAAGCGACCUCGCGAGAGCAAGCGGACCUCAUAAAGUGCGUCGUAGUCCGGAUUGGAGUCUGCAACUCGACUCCAUGAAGUCGGAAUCGCUAGUAAUCGUGGAUCAGAAUGCCACGGUGAAUACGUUCCCGGGCCUUGUACACACCGCCCGUCACACCAUGGGAGUGGGUUGCAAAAGAAGUAGGUAGCUUAACCUUCGGGAGGGCGCUUACCACUUUGUGAUUCAUGACUGGGGUGACG
RNAcentral lists this ribosomal RNA (1449 nucleotides) under uncultured organism. RNAcentral's name for it is "SSU rRNA". It matches the Rfam family "Bacterial small subunit ribosomal RNA". The record is from RNAcentral.